UUGACCUCGGAUCAGGUAGGAUACCCGCUGAACUUAAGCAUAUCAAUAAGCGGAGGAAAAGAAACNAACAGGGAUUGCUNCAGUAACGGCGAGUGAAGCGGCCACAGCUCAAAUUUGAAAUCUGGCCCCCGGCCCGAGUUGUAAUUUGCAGAGGAUGCUUCGGGCGCGGCGCCUUCCAAGUCCCCUGGAACGGGGCGCCACAGAGGGUGAGAGCCCCGUACGGUUGGACGCCAAGCCCGUGUGAAGCUCCUUCGACGAGUCGAGUAGUUUGGGAAUGCUGCUCUAAAUGGGAGGUAGACCCCUUCUAAAGCUAAAUACCGGCUGGAGACCGAUAGCGCACAAGUAGAGUGAUCGAAAGAUGAAAAGAACUUUGAAAAGAGGGUUAAACAGCACGUGAAAUUGUUGAAAGGGAAGCGCUUGUGACCAGACUUGCGCCGGGGCGAUCCUCUGGCGUUCUCGCCAGGGCACUCGCCCCGGGGCAGGCCAGCGUCGGUUUGGGCGGGCGGACAAGGGCGUCGGGCACGUAGCUCCCUCGGGAGUGUUAUAGCCCGGCGCGCGAUGCUCCCGCCCGGACCGAGGUUCGCGCUCUGCAAGGACGCUGGCGUAAUGGUCACCAGCGGCCCGUCUUGAAACACGGACCAAGGAGUCGAGGUUCUGCGCGAGUGUAUGGGUGCCAAACCCGCACGCGCAAUGAAAGUGAACGUAGGUGGGAGCCUCGGCGCACCACCGACCGAUCCUGAUGUUCUCGGAUGGAUUUGAGUAGGAGCGUUGGGCCUCGGACCCGAAAGAUGGUGAACUAUGCUUGGAUAGGGUGAAGCCAGAGGAAACUCUGGUGGAGGCUCGCAGCGGUUCUGACGUGCAAAUCGAUCGUCAAAUCUGAGCAUGGGGGCGAAAGACUAAUCGAACCAUCUAGUAGCUGGUUACCGCCGAAGUUUCCCUCAGGAUAGCAGUGUUGUUUUCAGUUUUAUGAGGUAAAGCGAAUGAUUAGGGACUCGGGGGCGCUAUUUAGCCUUCAUCCAUUCUCAAACUUUAAAUAUGUAAGAAGCCCUUGUUGCUUAAUUGAACGUGGGCAUUCGAAUGUACCAACACUAGUGGGCCAUUUUUGGUAAGCAGAACUGGCGAUGUGGGAUGAACCAUACGCGAGGUUAAGGUGCCGGAGUGGACGCUCAUCAGACACCA
Molecule: ribosomal RNA, 1179 nt
Filed under: Chaetosphaeria innumera
Lineage: Eukaryota; Fungi; Ascomycota; Sordariomycetes; Chaetosphaeriales; Chaetosphaeriaceae
Description: eukaryotic LSU rRNA
Rfam family: Eukaryotic large subunit ribosomal RNA
Source: RNAcentral